AGGCUUCUAUGUUCUUAUAAACCCAUUAGUAUGUCUCUGAAUGUUUUUUAUUGGGACUUGAUUGGCCCUUUAAACUUGUACAACUUUUAGCAACGGAUCUCUUGGCUCUCCCAUCGAUGAAGAACGCAGCGAAAUGCGAUAAGUAAUGUGAAUUGCAGAAUUCAGUGAAUCAUCGAAUCUUUGAACGCACCUUGCGCCCUCUGGUAUUCCGGAGGGCAUGCCUGUUUGAGUGUCAUUAAAUUCUCAACUUCAAUAGCUUUUACUAGCUUAUUGAUGCUUGGAUGUGGGAGCUUGCUGGCGUCUUAGAUGUUCGGCUCUCCUUAAAGUUAUUAGUGGAAACCUCUUUGUUGGGUUAUUCCUGGUGUGAUAAUUAUCUACGCUUUGAAUAAUCUAAUGUUCCAUUGUAGACUUGAGAUUUCUCAGUAGAAAUACUGGUCUGGGUAUUGCAAUUAAAUUUGCUGUAUCUGUAAUCUCUCAGUAGCAAUACUGGUUUUGGCAUUGCAAUUAAAUUUGCUUUACCUGUAGUCUCAGAGGAAAAGGGAAGUUCUGCUUUCUAACCGUCUAUGUAUAUGGACAAUUUAUUGACUAUUUGACCUCAAAUCAGGUAGGACUACCCGCUGAACUUAA
Molecule: ribosomal RNA, 627 nt
Filed under: uncultured fungus
Lineage: Eukaryota; Fungi
Description: eukaryotic LSU rRNA
Rfam family: 5.8S ribosomal RNA (bases 82-235)
Source: RNAcentral